RNAcentral lists this unclassified non-coding RNA (4248 nucleotides) under Hevea brasiliensis (rubber tree). The record is from RNAcentral. Lineage: Eukaryota; Viridiplantae; Streptophyta; Magnoliopsida; Malpighiales; Euphorbiaceae.
CUUUAGGAAUGUCAUAAUGCUCUCUUAGCUGUAGCCAGCAAUUCCCAAACUCAAGUGUAUACGAUCAACUGUUUGAAAAAUUCAAUGUAGAGGAAAUAAUAUUGUAGUCUAUACAGACUCUGUAAAACGUACUUAUGCCGUACGCACACGGCGUGUCGUUUGUUUUUGGUCAACCUUGACUUUCUGCUUCUUGCUAUUACAAAUCCUCCUCUUCUGUCUCCGCCACCAGCACCGCCAGCAGCGUGAGUCACGUAUUGACCUCGCAGCUUUAAGAAGAGGCAAAGCGUCGUGUUUCUGACUCUGAUUUCUCCAAUAAUGCUGCUUUUACAAUUCUUUUUUUAAUUCAGAGGUAAGAAUGAUUCGAUUGGUGGAUGGAGUUAGGUUUGAGGUCUGAUUCUAAGGUCCAAUCCCAAUCCUCACUGUUGACUAAACAAAUUCAAAGCUUUAGAAAAACAAUUUCUCAAGUAAUCGAAGCAAGAACUAAGAAGUAACCGAGGCCUUUCCUAUGGCUGCACUGAUCUCAUAUUCUUUCUCAUGAAGCCUUCAACAACAACUAGUCCACUUUCCUUUCUUUCAUGAUCGAGAAUCAAAUGCAUUUCUUUCAAAAAUCUGUUUCUUCCUCUUCUCCUUCUUCCUCUUCGCCGUCUUCCCCUUCUGUUUCUUCAAAAGACAGCAGUGGCAAUGCUGGUAAUUUCUUUAAUAAUCGUGGGCAAUCAUCCUUUACUCAGAGGAGGCUCACGCGGCAGAGGAAGCUCAGGCACGUCAGUAACCAUGAGCUUGGCUUGCAGUUCAUCGAUCCUUUGAAUUCUCCUCAUGGUUCACCUGAUUCUGCUCAAAAGCCGCGAUCUCUUGGCUCCUCCGAUCGCUGGUUUUCGUCUGCUGUACCGCAACCGUUGCCGCUUCCUGAAUGGCCUUUGACCAAGAGACCGGAUUUGUUGGGCUCGAUUUUCUGCCAGGGUCAUCCUGGAUCACCAGAAGAAGGACCGAGCUCUGUUUUGAGGAGGAAUAGCGCAGAUCAUGUUGUUACAAAGUUUGCUACUUGUUCAAGCAAUUGUCAUUCGAGAUUCUCUCAAGAUGCUAAUGAUGAUGGUGCUAAUUACAACUUAAGACUGAACAUUGCUGCUCGAAGUGCUCCAACAAGUGGAUUCUCAAGUCCUAUGGUUAGUCCUCGAAGAUCAAAUGCAGGGGAACUCUCUCCUGGCGAUGCUACAGAUGCAUUCAAGUCUUCAAGCAAUUGUUGCAAGGGACAGUCUCAUGAUCUAAAUACUGAAAGUUUUAAGUACAAGUUGAGUCAGAUUGCUUCUCCCAGGAGUGCUCCAACAAGCGGUUUCUCAAGCCCUGCUGUUAGCCCACAAAGAUCAAACACUGGGGACUUUUUACCAUCUUUUGUAGCUUCACAAGCAUGUCAUAAGCAGUCAGCUUUGGAAGUACCAGACUUGGGUAGGCAUGGUGGUCAUAGUUCACAAGUGUCACCACUCAAACCCAUGCAUAGUCCAGAUCAUUCUCCAUUUUGUAGCCCAUCAUUGCAAAGUCCCUACCUCAACCCCAAAAGUCACUAUAAGUUUUCAUUUCCAUCGCAUAAUAAAUUGCUUCAAGGGAAUUCUAAGGAGUGGCCUGAGACUAAUAGCCAUUUUAGUGCUCAUCCAUUGCCCCUUCCUCCUGGAGCCGCCCCGCCACAGUCGCCUGUGCCAUCUCCACCAGCUGUUCUCCAUCACGCAAUAGAGAAGCCAAAUUUAUUAUUGAGAAAAACUCAGUGGCAGAAAGGAAAACUUAUUGGACGUGGUACAUAUGGAAGUGUUUAUGUUGGAACCAACCUAGAGACUGGAGCUUUAUGUGCAAUGAAGGAAGUUGACAUCAUCCCUGAUGACCCCAAAUCUGCUGAAUGCAUAAAGCAGCUAGAGCAGGAAAUUAGACUUCUUCAACAUCUAAAGCAUCCAAAUAUUGUGCAGUAUUACGGCACUGAGAUAGUUGAUGAUCACUUUUACAUAUAUUUGGAGUAUGUGUAUCCUGGAUCAAUCAGUAGAUAUUUCCGUGAACAUUGUGGAGCCAUGACCGAAUCUAUAGUCCGCAAUUUCACCCGCCAUAUUCUAUCUGGAUUGGAUUAUCUGCACAGCACAAAGACAAUCCACAGGGACAUUAAAGGAGCAAAUUUGCUUGUUGAUUCAUCAGGUGUUGUUAAGUUGGCAGAUUUUGGCUUGGCAAAACAUCUUACUGGACUAUCAUAUGAAUUGUCUUUGAAAGGCAGUCCACACUGGAUGGCUCCAGAGGUCAUAAAAGCUGUGAUGCAGAAAGAUGCCAAUUCUGAUCUUGCUUUGGCAGUUGAUAUAUGGAGCUUGGGUUGUACUGUCAUUGAGAUGUUUACUGGUAAACCUCCCUGGGGCGAUCUUCAAGGGGUGAGCUCAUACUAGAUUGUGCUUCCUUUUUUAUAUAAGAAAGUUUAGAUGCCUACUUUUUAGAGUGCUCUGUGUCGAUUUGACCUCAUUAAGUUGGACUAUAAAGAAGUGACGAUUGUAUUAGAAAGUUUAUCUUCAAACUGUUCUCUUUUCAAGGGCUGAAUUUGCAUUGUGACUCAAGUUCCUGUCCAGAAUUCCUGACGGUGUCACCUAUAACCGUUUCCCCAGCAUGCAUUUUUGGGUUCAAGCAAAGUUGUCAGUAUUUUGUACUAUUUGUAAUUUGACAAUAGCAUCUUUCUUUGCUUAGUGUUAUUGACUCUCGCUUGCUGAUGAAUCUCAAAAUAUAUCGGUGAUAUUUUGCAUAGUACUGUAGGUUUGUUAAUUGAUUCUUAAUUUAUUUUUAUGUUAUUAAAGCACUGAAAAUGAAAGUAGGGGCAUAUGCAUUUUUCUUUUCUUCAUCUAAGCUAAGUUUUCUCAUCAUCUUUGCCUCCCUCUGCAUUUCUGUUUGGUAAUUCUGUUACAAUGGUGUGCACACUUCUGGGUUUUCUACUUCAUCUCUUAAUUGUCUAAUUCUCUUCGACAUGUCAGCCUCAAGCAAUGUUCAAGGUUUUGAACAAAACUCCACCUAUACCAGAUGUAUUGUCUCCAGAAGCUAAAGAUUUUCUCUGCUGUUGCUUUCAAAGAAAUCCUGCAGAGCGACCAUCUGCUAAUAUGCUACUUGAGCAUCCUUUUGUGCGAAAUUCAAGUGAACUCAAUUUGUUGACCUGCAGACAGGCAUUAUCAGCAAUAAACCUCAUGGCAAGUAUUGAGUAAUAAACCCCAUGGCAUAGUCAGCCUGUAGAUGGGCAUUCUUUCUACUGUUGAUGAACUCCGAAGUGAUUCAUUUUACUUUGAGAAAUGUAUUUGAUUAGUGCACUAAUUACUCGUGUGCCCUUUUUAUAGGAUAAGUCACAAUGUUCCAGAGAUUGUGCUGCACAAAAAAUUGAUUUGAUGCCAACCUCUCCAGGCACACGGAUUAUGAAUGAUAAAAUGCCCAGCAAUAGGUAAAUAUAUCGACAUGCAAUAAAGUGAUCAUUCAGAUAAUACUUCUUAAUUCUUUCAUUUCAUUCUAUGGCUAUCUCGAUUAUUGAUAUAUUGGUAUUUAUAUUUCUGUGUUUUCCCCCUCAGUGAAACCUUUCAACAAAGUUGUGUCAAAACAUUCAAUUCUGCUGCAGUUUCUUUUCACUCUCCAUGUUCUCCACUUGAAGUCCUUCCUUCUCUAUCUACAACACAGUUGGUUUAUGAUUCACAUAAUUUCAGCUCUACUUCAAAAUUUUCCAGCAACAUGCCACUUGGUGCCGUGAAUAACCAUCCUUUGGCUCUUUUAAGGAGUCAUGGAAGGGAAGUUCCACAUAUCUGAAAUAUCCACCGAUUGUCAUGGUUUGAUCUGGAAGCAGUCUUCUUUGUGUACAGCUAGGUAGAAGCUAGCAAUUGACUAGACAGGACCCAAUGGAGGUUUUCAAAUCUCUUUUUAAGGCUUUCAUGACUCUCAUGAGCUUGAGGUUCAGUGUAUCAUAUUCUAUGCUCUUGAUGCAGAAAAGACUUCUUAAUUUGGAAAUCUAAUAAGCUGGGAUGAGUGUGCUGGUCAUUUCCAUCUUCAUCGUCGUGGCUUGAACUUGUGCAAAUAGGAGGGGUUUAGACUUCAAGCAAAUGAUUUAACGAAGAUGUAAAAAGUAGGAAGUGAAAAUAGUAAUUAUUCCCAUUUUAUAAAGAUAAUGACAAACUUUAGUAGAACUUGUAAAUAUAGGAACCUUUCUUCCCCACAAUUUGAUUCAUUUCUAAUAUAGAAAAUGUUUCAGCUGGUUGCUUUUUCAUA